RNAcentral lists this ribosomal RNA (492 nucleotides) under uncultured bacterium. RNAcentral describes it as "partial 16S ribosomal RNA". It matches the Rfam family "Bacterial small subunit ribosomal RNA", at positions 29 to 507 of the family's 1533-position model. The record is from RNAcentral.
AGUGAACGCUGGCGGUAGGCCUAACACAUGCAAGUCGAACGGCAGCACAGUAAGAGCUUGCUCUUACGGGUGGCGAGUGGCGGACGGGUGAGGAAUACAUCGGACUCUACUUUUUCGUGGGGGAUCACGUAGGGAAACUUACGCUAAUACCGCAUACGACCUACGGGUGAAAGCAGGGGAUCUUCGGACCUUGCGCGAUUGAAUGCGCCGAUGUCGGAUUAGCUAGUUGGCGGGGUAAAGGCCCACCAAGGCGACGAUCCGUAGCUGGUCUGAGAGGAUGAUCAGCCACACUGGAACUGAGACACGGUCCAGACUCCUACGGGAGGCAGCAGUGGGGAAUAUUGGACAAUGGGGGCAAGCCUGAUCCAGCCAUACCGCGUGGGUGAAGAAGGCCUUCGGGUUGUAAAGCCCUUUUGUUGGGAAAGAAAAGCAGCAGGUUAAUACCCCGCUGUUCUGACGGUACCCAAAGAAUAAGCACCGGCUAACUUCGUG